GUCUCCCUCAGGUCCCCCUCAUCCCACCUCCCUUGCAAUAGACCACAGUAGCAGUUAAAUUAAGGCCCAAGAGGCAGACAUCCUGCAGCAGACUGAAAAUGCAGAAAACCAGUUGCAUGAAUGAAAUGAGAACAUGAAGACUGCUCCCUAAAAAAAAAUUGAAAGUUCUCAGCUGACCAUGUGUCGUGCAAUGACAGAAAUGUCAAGAUGAGGGUGAGGCAGAGGACAAGGACGCAGGAAAGGUGGUCCUGCCUGCAUCUACAGUCUGAUCAUCAGUCUUCAGCCCUAUCUGUGUUGCCAGUGUGGACAUUGAUGCAAAGACUUCAGGCUCAGAAGAUGACAGACCGUCUAUCCAGCCAUCACACCGAGAGCUGAAGGGGUGAAAGCGGAGGCCAGUUGUGGACCAGCCUAUAAAGACAUCGCAUUGGAGAGAUAAAAAGAACGCUUGCAGCUGAACACUGCCCUGAGUCCUAGCUACCCAUGCAUCCUGCACAUGAGUGCUUUUAGCUGCCCUCUGAGCACCAGGGACGAGGGCCAGAUUUCUGGGAGCUAAAACUGGGAAGAGCACUGAUGUUGGAUGACUCGAGGACACAAAAUAAAAAGACGACUGAAAAGAGGGCCCCGGCAGAAGAGACAAAUGAGACACAGCUCCAGAAGUCACAUGACGAUGAGGGGCUGAGUUUACCAAGUUUGCUUUCUCCAAGACCCUCAACAAUCACAAGGAUCAGAUCAGGACAGGGAGCCAGAUGAAGGACAGCCACAGGAUAGGAAUCCCCAUUUCUGAACAUGAGAUGUGGAAAGAAAUGGAAGAAGUUGGAGCAUCUGCAGAGAACCCACCCAGGUCCAGAGAGAACAUGAACUCCACACAGACAGAACCAGCAGGAUGAAGAAACAGUGAGAGGAACCCCAGGAUGAUCAGAAAUGGAAGAAUUAUGCCAAGAUGAGACACUGUUAAAGCUGUGAAAAAAAAAUCUAUGUUCAGGCAAACUGUGUGACAUCCUGAUAUCUUGAGUUAUUACUCCAAAUAAAAAGGUGGCUUGAAACUAUC
This is a long non-coding RNA of Amphiprion ocellaris (clown anemonefish), 1048 nucleotides long. The record is from Ensembl. NCBI's taxonomy places the organism in Eukaryota, Metazoa, Chordata, Actinopteri, Pomacentridae.